UACAUUCAUAGUUUCAUUAUGUAGUUGCACUUAUUAUCUUCACGAGCUGAGCUGACACUAAAUUGUAUUCAAAAUUCAUAAAAGUUUCUGCCAACUUUCUCAUUUUAAACACCCAAAUAUACAAGACUUCCUUUACAGGAAAUAUUGAACCACUCUCAUGGAUUUGCUCCAAGAAAUAACGGAUCCCGCAGGGAAAACAUGGUGCGAAAAUAUGUCCACCAAAAUGCACACUGAAGGUUUUGUAAAAUUUGGGCCAGAGAAAAUUGUUGUGCCGAGAGGCUACAUUCGACUACACGAAAAGAUAAAGAACUUCAAACUCCGACCAGAUGAUAUCUGGGUGGUCACUUUCCCAAAAUCAGGAACAACAUGGACUCAGGAAAUGGUAUGGUGUGUCGCAAAUGAUUUGGACUAUGAGGCUGCGAAACAACCUCUCCUGGAAAGAUCACCGUAUCUCGAAGUUUCUGCAUUGGUACCAACCCUGGAACCAGAACGAGAUCCAUCCCUCAUGGGAAUGGUUAUGGACAGCGUCGAUAUCGUCGCACAGGCCAAAUCUCCUCGGGUCAUCAAGACGCAUCUACCUCUGUCCCUUCUUCCUAAGGAACUGACAGAUUCUCUCACCGCAAAUGACCGCACUAAACCAUUCCCUUGCGGCAGAGUUGUUUACGUCGCUCGGAACCCAAAAGAUGCUUGCGUUUCAUAUUUUCACGACUUGAGAGCUCUUCUGGGAUAUAAAGGCACAUUGGAUGAACUCGUUGACGCAUUCACUUCCGAGAGUGUUCUUUACGCACCUUACUGGAAGCAUGUCCAACCUUUUUGGGAAAUACGAGACCAUAAAAACGUUAUGUUCUUGAAAUACGAGGAUAUGAGCAAAGACUUGUCCUCCGUGCUGGAGAAACUUUCAAACUUUCUUAAGAAACAUAUACCACCAGCUGCCAUGCCAGAAUUGUUGGAGCAUUUAAGUUUUCACGCAAUGCGGAAUAAUCCUGCCUGCAAUUUUGAGGAAACGGUAGCCAGGCGGAGAAAUGUACACAAACUUGGUGAAAGUGAAGAAGGACAAGAACCGUUCACGUUCAUGCGGAAGGGCAAAGUUGGUUCUUGGAAGGAAGAAUUGAGUUCCGAAAUGAUAAGAAAAUUUGAUGCCUGGGUAAAAGCGAACAAGGUCGAGGGUCUAGAAUAUUAGGCACCAUUAUUGAUUUGCACCAUUAUUGAUCUGCACCAUUCGAAUUCAUGAUAUUACGAACAUGGUCAUAUUAUGUAUGUACAUAGAUAUGUACAUAUGUUGUUGUAGCUCUGAUCAUGCAAAAUAUUAAGAUUCUUUAUGCGACUAACAUUAGUGACUAUGUAAAUACAUACAUAUGUAUGUACAUAUACUUAUGCUAUGGUUUAUGCUCCACUUAAUAAUUUUUUUGGUUAAGUUAUCUCAUGUACGAAUUGACUUAGGAGGGGAGCUUGCGAGUGAUCCUUUUGAAUAUGCGUAAAUGUUCAGAAAGUCGAAAUUACCAAAAUAAUCUUUGACUACGAAACUUAUGCUUGUAAAAAAUUAGUUUAAGGGCCUGGGGGAAGUUGCUUAGAAAUCACGUCAACUUUGACAAUAAAAUUCAGCAAUGCACAAGAGGGCACAUUUUUCAAAUUAUGUUUAAUUUGUUAAUCAUAUCUUUAGAUUUUACGUACAUUUUUUUUGACAAUGUGCCCUCUUGUGCAGUGGAGAUAUUUGGUCAUAAAGAGAGCACAAAUUGGCUUAGAAUUGCAAAAUUGAUGGCAUGAAUUGCAUUUUGAGUAUCCAUGGAACAAAAGAAAACAACCUUUUUUCAAAAACUUGAGGGAAAAGUGAUCAAACAGAAGCUUUUGGACGUGAGCGUGCCAUAGAAACGGUGUCAAUUAAUCGUGGUCGUAACUUUAUAGAGUGAUAAAUAAUCUUAGAUUCCUAGCAAUUAUUGUUGCUAACAUAAAAUCAAUUUUCGAAAGUAAAUCUUCCCCCGGGCCCUUAAAGAAAACCCCACAAAAACCCUUACGCGUCAGGGUUUUUCCAAGAUUUUAUACCCCAAAAAUCCCAACCCACAAAGGCUCGAUGGUCUGGCAUAUAAAACAGACAUUACAAAAUUAUCCUGAGAUAAUAAGAUUUCGAUUGUUUUAGAACCUGUGGUGAUGAAAAUGUUUGACUGAGAUUUAUGAACAUGUAUUAUCGAUUUCUGGUUUUUGGAUAGUAUUUGAAAUCUAUGGGACAUUUACAUCCCUGGUAUUAUGAAUUUCCGUAAGUGCAUAUAAAAUAUAUUUCCACUUAACCAGUAGUACAUAGUUUAACUUAAUUUACAUAAUUUAAUUUAUUCUUCUUGAUAUUUAUUUCUUUAAAAUACUGAGAUUUUGGAUAAUUCUAUAAAAUUAAAUCUGGCUCGGGCUGUGCGAAGGUGUAAAGGGAAAUAGAUAACACUGUGAACAUAUUAUUCUUCCAUACAAAACGUUUUAUGCUAAUCACAUUGGUAUCCAAUCGUUUGCUCAAGAAACGCGCCUCAAGUCACGUGUCCUAUCCCACAUUGUUAAAUACCAUAGGAGGAUAUGGCACGUGACGUGCAGCACGUUUCCUGAGCGAACGAGUGGAUAAUCCUCUUAUAACUCUACGAUAAUACCUAAGUGUUAUUGUGGUGGUUUAUUUACUGUUCUGAUUGUCUGUGUUGUGGUAAACUUACCUGCCCUACCUUAACUCUUGCAAUAACUUUUUUCGCCAAAAUUAAAUAAUUCGUAAUUACACAUAUUUCCAAUAUAUUCUCAAUAAAUAAACGAAGUUCAAGUGGAUUGGUCAACAUGUCAUUGGAAGGUAGAAACUUGGCCAAGGUUGCUGGCAAACUGAUACGAUUUCCAACUAUGUAUAAAAACUGGGAGAGCUUUUGCAAAGAACUUGACACCCCACCUGAACUGACGGAGCAGUACACCCGUGGGGAAAUCUCCUUGUUCAGGCUAUUCCGAAAUAGCCUAGAAUCAUGGCGCACGCAAGUUCCAAAGGCAACUGUGAAAGAUCUGUGCUUACUUUUAAGACAAGUACAAAUUUUCAAGGCAGUGAGUAAAGAGCUUAAGAAACUUUGGAAAGGGACUGAUCUCUGGUAUCUAAAAUCAAGCGGUCAAGACUUGGACUCGGAAGCGAAGAAACUUAGUGAUUUGCACAUUAAAGAAACUGCAUUAACUUCACAGUCUCCAGACUGGAUGAGCGAAAUAGAGUCAUCUUGGCUGAUAACCGAAACUGAGUGGGCCGUACAUCUAGCGCGCAUGGAGCGAUACCCAAAUGAAGCAAAUUAUCAUAACCACACUUUCAUUCUGCUCGAAGGAAGUCAAACUGGGGACAAUAAAAUGCCUGGAGUCACCUACUUGAUGGACUUCGUGCAAAGGAAAAGCAAGAAAGAUGGCCAGGAUCACGCAGGGAGGAUCAGACUUUUAAACUUUGAAGGAGGUCGAAACACGUUGUUCAAACCCCAAUGGAUGAAAAAGGUUGGAAACGGAUUGGACGAAAUUACCUACUUGUCGACACGGUUAAGCAAUACGGUGGGUCAAAAGUUGAUUGAAAAUGUGCAACUGGAUUUCGACUGCCCGCCCAAAUAUUAUUUAGUUGGUAAGGAACCUGUACCUGGAGAUUCUACCGAAUCGCACAACUGCUAUAGCUGGGCAACAUGUCAAUUAGGUUUGGCACUUCCGGAUUGGAAACUUCCUGCUGAGACUGAUCCGAUUUGGGAGACUGCGAAGAAGAAACAAAAGCGAGCAGGCACUGGAAAAUCGGGGACCUCGAAGAUUAAGAAAUAAUGGAAAUAUGAUGGAACACGAGAAAAAUUAAUUUGUUGAAAGAAAUGUUACUUGAUUUUGUUAUUAGUUGUUUUAUUAAAUUUUCAUGAAAGUAUGUAAAGAUUCAAACCGUAUGAAAUUGACUUACAGUCAUUUUUCAAGUAAUUAAUAAAUAUUUCAUAACCCAAAAUCAAUUAUCUCAAUUAUGCACUUAUUCCAAUACAGCACAACGUUGUCUCGCAGGUAUUUACAUAUAUAUAUAUAUAUAUAUCUAUAUACAAUUAUACAAAAAAUGCUAUCCUCCAUGAAAAUGUACAUAUGACAUGUAAAUAGCCACCUAAUUCACUCUAAACUAUCCUUAUUAACUUAAUCAUAACUUUAGGCAAAGUGGAAAAUUUUUCCACUUAUACUCAAAGCUAUUUCCAGGAAAAAGCUUUUAGCGUAAGUAAUUUGUUGUGACUCUAUCACAUUGGUAUAUAGAUACAUAAGUGCUCAUAAUUGAAUUAAAAAGUUGUAUUGAAACUUU
This is an RNA transcript of Folsomia candida, 4291 nucleotides long. It is a transcript of the gene named luciferin sulfotransferase, with no coding region annotated. The record is from RefSeq and is a predicted model, not a curated record. The transcript has 8 exons. Lineage: Eukaryota; Metazoa; Arthropoda; Collembola; Entomobryomorpha; Isotomidae.